RNAcentral lists this unclassified non-coding RNA (20 nucleotides) under Chlamydomonas reinhardtii. Its description in RNAcentral is "small RNA Cre_3542". The record is from RNAcentral. Lineage: Eukaryota; Viridiplantae; Chlorophyta; Chlorophyceae; Chlamydomonadales; Chlamydomonadaceae.
UGUCGUGCUUGGUCCAGCCG